UGGGGAAUAUUGCGCAAUGGACGAAAGUCUGAUCCAGCCAUGCCGCGUGAGUGACGAAGGCCUUAGGGUUGUAAAACUCUUUCGUCGGGGACGAUAAUGACGGUACCCGAAGAAGAAGCUCCGGCUAACUUCGUGCCAGCAGCCGCGGUAAUACGAAGGGAGCUAGCGUUGUUCGGAAUCACUGGGCGUAAAGCGCACGUAGGCGGAUAGUUAAGUCAGGGGUGAAAUCCUGGGGCUCAACCCCAGAACUGCCUUUGAUACUGGCUGUCUCGAGGUCGAGAGAGGUUGGUGGAAUUCCUAGUGUAGAGGUGAAAUUCGUAGAUAUUAGGAAGAACACCAGUGGCGAAGGCGGCCAACUGGCUCGAUACUGACGCUGAGGUGCGAAAGCGUGGGGAGCAAACAGGAUUAGAUACCCUUGUAGUCCCUGAGCGGGCUGGCAAGGCGCAU
This 447-nucleotide ribosomal RNA is filed under the name uncultured bacterium. RNAcentral's name for it is "bacterial SSU rRNA". It matches the Rfam family "Bacterial small subunit ribosomal RNA", at positions 355 to 825 of the family's 1533-position model. The record is from RNAcentral.